RNAcentral lists this ribosomal RNA (253 nucleotides) under uncultured bacterium. Its description in RNAcentral is "partial 16S ribosomal RNA". It matches the Rfam family "Bacterial small subunit ribosomal RNA", at positions 524 to 776 of the family's 1533-position model. The record is from RNAcentral.
UACAGAGGUCUCAAGCGUUGUUCGGAUUCAUUGGGCGUAAAGGGUGCGUAGGCGGCGCGGUAAGUCGGGUGUGAAAUCUUGGAGCUUAACUCCGAAACUGCAUUCGAUACUGCCGUGCUUGAGGACUGGAGAGGAGACUGGAAUUUACGGUGUAGCGGUGAAAUGCGUAGAUAUCGUAAGGAACACCGGUGGCGAAGGCGGUUCUCUGGGCCUGACCUGACGCUGAGGAGCGAAAGCGUGGGGAGCGAACAGG